This 428-nucleotide ribosomal RNA is filed under the name Chloroflexota bacterium. Its description in RNAcentral is "Chloroflexi bacterium partial 16S ribosomal RNA". It matches the Rfam family "Bacterial small subunit ribosomal RNA", at positions 355 to 775 of the family's 1533-position model. Lineage: Bacteria; Bacillati; Chloroflexota. The record is from RNAcentral.
UGGGGAAUAUUGCACAAUGGGCGCAAGCCUGAUGCAGCCAUGCCGCGUGUGUGAAGAAGGCCUUCGGGUUGUAAAGCACUUUCAGCGGGGAGGAAGGCGUUAAGGUUAAUAACCUUGGCGAUUGACGUUACCCGCAGAAGAAGCACCGGCUAACUCCGUGCCAGCAGCCGCGGUAAUACGGAGGGUGCAAGCGUUAAUCGGAAUUACUGGGCGUAAAGCGCACGCAGGCGGUUUGUUAAGUCAGAUGUGAAAUCCUCGGGCUCAACCUGGGAACUGCAUCUGAUACUGGCAAGCUUGAGUCUCGUAGAGGGGGGUAGAAUUCCAGGUGUAGCGGUGAAAUGCGUAGAGAUCUGGAGGAAUACCGGUGGCGAAGGCGGCCCCCUGGACGAAGACUGACGCUCAGGUGCGAAAGCGUGGGGAGCAAACAG